This 72-nucleotide transfer RNA is filed under the name Ictidomys tridecemlineatus (thirteen-lined ground squirrel). RNAcentral describes it as "Spermophilus tridecemlineatus (thirteen-lined ground squirrel) tRNA". It matches the Rfam family "tRNA". From Rfam's summary of the family: Transfer RNA (tRNA) molecules are approximately 80 nucleotides in length. Their secondary structure includes four short double-helical elements and three loops (D, anti-codon, and T loops). The record is from Rfam by way of RNAcentral. Lineage: Eukaryota; Metazoa; Chordata; Mammalia; Rodentia; Sciuridae.
GGGGGUGCAGCUCAGUGGUAGAGUACUUGCCUAGCAUGCUUGAGGCCUUGGGUUAAAUUCCAAGCACCACGG